AGAUUGAACGCUGGCGGCAUGCCUUACACAUGCAAGUCGAACGGCAGCACGGGGGCAACCCUGGUGGCGAGUGGCGAACGGGUGAGUAAUACAUCGGAACGUGCCCAGUCGUGGGGGAUAACGUAGCGAAAGCUACGCUAAUACCGCAUACGAACUCUGGUUGAAAGCGGGGGAUCGCAAGACCUCGCGCGAUUGGAGCGGCCGAUGGCAGAUUAGGUAGUUGGUGGGGUAAAGGCCUACCAAGCCGACGAUCUGUAGCUGGUCUGAGAGGACGACCAGCCACACUGGGACUGAGACACGGCCCAGACUCCUACGGGGGGCAGCAGUGGGGAAUUUUGGACAAUGGGCGCAAGCCUGAUCCAGCCAUUCCGCGUGCAGGAUGAAGGCCCUCGGGUUGUAAACUGCUUUUGUACGGAACGAAAAGGCCUGAGUUAAUACCUCGGGCUCAUGACGGUACCGUAAGAAUAAGCACCGGCUAACUACGUGCCAGCAGCCGCGGUAAUACGUAGGGUGCAAGCGUUAAUCGGAAUUACUGGGCGUAAAGCGUGCGCAGGCGGUGAUGUAAGACAGGUGUGAAAUCCCCGGGCUUAACCUGGGAACUGCAUUUGUGACUGCAUCGCUGGAGUGCGGCAGAGGGGGAUGGAAUUCCGCGUGUAGCAGUGAAAUGCGUAGAUAUGCGGAGGAACACCGAUGGCGAAGGCAAUCCCCUGGGCCUGCACUGACGCUCAUGCACGAAAGCGUGGGGAGCAAACAGGAUUAGAUACCCUGGUAGUCCACGCCCUAAACGAUGUCAACUGGUUGUUGGGUCUUCACUGACUCAGUAACGAAGCUAACGCGUGAAGUUGACC
Molecule: ribosomal RNA, 848 nt
Filed under: uncultured Ramlibacter sp.
Lineage: Bacteria; Pseudomonadati; Pseudomonadota; Betaproteobacteria; Burkholderiales; Comamonadaceae
Description: bacterial SSU rRNA
Rfam family: Bacterial small subunit ribosomal RNA
Source: RNAcentral